Molecule: small nuclear RNA, 173 nt
Filed under: Anas platyrhynchos (mallard)
Lineage: Eukaryota; Metazoa; Chordata; Aves; Anseriformes; Anatidae
Description: U2 spliceosomal RNA (ENSAPLG00020010628.1)
Rfam family: U2 spliceosomal RNA
About the family: U2 is a small nuclear RNA (snRNA) component of the spliceosome (involved in pre-mRNA splicing). Complementary binding between U2 snRNA (in an area lying towards the 5' end but 3' to hairpin I) and the branchpoint sequence (BPS) of the intron results the bulging out of an unpaired adenosine, on the BPS, which initiates a nucleophilic attack at the intronic 5' splice site, thus starting the first of two transesterification reactions that mediate splicing.
Source: RNAcentral
AUCGCUUCUCAGCCUUUUGGCUAAGAUCAAGUGUAGUAUCUGUUCUUAUCAGUUUAAUAUCUGAUACAUCCUCAAUGCGAGGACUUUAUAUUAAAUGGACUUUUGGGCUCAGUCUAUUUAUUUAUUUAUUUAUUGCCAAUAUAAACCUUGAUCUGAUAUUAGGAAAAACUUUA